ACGGAGGGUGCAAGCGUUAUCCGGAUUUAUUGGGUUUAAAGGGUGCGUAGGCGGUUAGAUAAGUCAGUGGUGAAAUCCUGCAGCUCAACUGUAGAACAGCCAUUGAAACUGUCUGACUUGAGUGAUCUUGAGGUAGGCGGAAUGUGUAGUGUAGCGGUGAAAUGCUUAGAUAUUACACAGAACACCGAUUGCGAAGGCAGCUUACCAAGGGUUUACUGACGCUGAUGCACGAAAGCGUGGGGAUCAAACAGGAUUAGAUACCCUGGUAGUCCACGCCGUAAACGAUGAUAACUCGCUGUUGGCGAUACACAGUCAGCGGCUUAGCGAAAGCGUUAAGUUAUCCACCUGGGGAGUACGCUCGCAAGAGUG
RNAcentral lists this ribosomal RNA (369 nucleotides) under uncultured bacterium. RNAcentral's name for it is "bacterial SSU rRNA". It matches the Rfam family "Bacterial small subunit ribosomal RNA", at positions 525 to 896 of the family's 1533-position model. The record is from RNAcentral.